GAAUUGCAGUAAAAUAAUAUAAAUUUCCUAGCAAAAACAAUUGUGUGAUAAUCUGUGUUUUAAUACCCAGGAGUAGAAGUAUUGGAAAGAAUAUUGUAUUGGCUUGGAUCGGAAUCAUCGGAUUAUCCCAGGGCGUCGAUGCUUAUCAAUUGACAAUACACUACUCACGGUGUUUUUCAGUCUGGUUGCACUGUAGUCUCGUCAUACCAGCGCAAGGCAAAUAUCACGACGCACAGAUAAUGUCGACCCAAAUGUGAACGGAGAAACGCCAACGCGCAAUUUAAUAUUGGUAUGUAAUUAAAGUUAUUUGCGCAAACAUAUAUUUGUCAGCAUUUCUAAGGGUUAUAUUUUUUCAACGCAUGUUGUUGAAGGCAAGUGUGAGCUUAUUUGUUGAUAUGAUUCAUAUGACCCAACAACGUCAUUUAUUCUUACAAUGUAGCAUAAAAUACGUACAUUUCUUUUGUAAGAUCAAACUCAUGACGUCCUGGGAAUAAAAAACUCAGACGAGCGGAGUACAUUCGAAAUUUCGCCUUUGUUUAUUUGCGGUAGCGAGUAAUGUUCUUGAACCACGCAUUAGGAAAUAACAGGUUUAUGUUAUCCCUGUGAAUUUUCUGAUGUAUUAUAAGUCGAGUUAGGUAGAUAGUUGAGAAAAAUGUAAUUAAAAGAGGUGAGGACUGUAUCCUUGAAGAAAGGUCAUUGAGCUAUUUAUUCAUCAUCGUUGUCUUUGAUCUUAGAAUAGGUUAAUAGUUUGAAGUGAAAUUAUUUGCAUCAUUUUUAGUUAUUUGAUAAUUGCACUUUAUAUUAUUCAUCUGCAAAUAUUGUCCAUUGGUAUCAUUGGUAUUUACUAUUUCAACUGGGAUCAAAUCAUAAAUAUUUUCUGUCGUUUUUAACAAACAUUUGUCGUUCUCUCGCAAGAAUUUAACCGCCAAGGGAAUAUAUCUUGCUAAUCACGCAUGCUGGGCGAUGAAACAUGUAAGUCGAUAUUAUAGUAUCAUGCAGUGAUCUCAAGAUCAUAUCCUGCUCAAACGUCGCCUAUGGCUAUUCAGAUUUUUUUUCACUUUUUGAAACUGCUGUGCAUGUAUAUAUAAUUGUAUAUAUUGUAAUUUUCGCUGUACAGAACCCCCAAAUUUCAAACUAUUACCAAGUAUAUGGUUCCUACAUCAAAGAUAAAUACUCAUAUUCAGCUUUGCAUUCAAAUAUAAAGCCAAUAAUAAUAAUAAUAAUAUAAUUCUCUAUUCAAUUAAUUCAAAUAUGAAAUAUAAAGCCAAUAUUUGUAUAAAGGCAGUGAAUGUUUGGAAUUGUUUUAAAGAGUCUACAAAGUUAAGUGCUGUCUACAGCUCGACAGCUGCCGAGCUGCGAACUCCAGUCAAAGUUUGAUGAAUCAAAAUGCGAGGACUAGCGUGAAAUCUAGUCCAGUCCUCAUAGUCGGAUUUGAAAUAUUACAUUUCAGUACGAAUAAAUCAUUACUGAAAGAAUAAAGUGAGGUGAAUUAAUUUUGAUCCAGUCCAAGGACUGAAUUAAUUUUGAUCCUAGGACUGGAUCAGUAUACUGCACCAGGUAUCCAGUAUUAUUAUAUGAGCAAAAUAAAGCAAUACGGUUGGCAAAUUUACUCAUGAAUUAUUAAUGAGAUAUACAUUCCUCAGGUAGUUGUAUCUCUCUCAAUCCGCAGCUGUCUUGUUAUCAUCGCUACCUCCACUGGCACAGCCGAUCAUUCAAGAUUGUCUGCAGCUAAGAGCUUGAUGUUAAAGUGGCAUCUUCUGUGAUUAUAGUCGCGUUAGCCUUUUGGCCAUACUCUUGAGUCUUGGCGAAUAACAUUGUUUACAGUACUCAGCAGUGGCGUCUCCAGUGGUGAAAGUAGGGUGGACAAACGAGCGCCAAAGGUGCAAUAAUAUGUACACAAUAAGUUUCGCAAAAGAAGUCCUGUAAAUGCCAUUUCCUGCAUUGCAAGAAACGUUUUCUAUAUAUAGUUGCAUCAUGUUUCGAAAGGUUUAUUUAUACACCAACACUUGAUUUGAACCCCCAAUAUUUUCUCAAGGAAAUUAGAGAAGGAAAAAAUCUGUCUUGGGGGAAAACUGGAGUGGACAUGCUAACCUAGUUCACCCUGUGGCGACGCCACUGGUACUCAGUAAGAUUGGUAAAUUCAUGAAGUCAAGAAGACAAUCUUGAAAAGACAACCACUGUGUUUUGCUUUUCUUCGGGAUUUGAAAAGGGCCUUUCAUGCAGUUCGUCAAUAACUGAAUUGUUAACAUGCCUCGUGGUUGGAGAAAUGUUGACAAUGUAAAUAUUGGGAGUUAGAAUGCAUCAUCGAGGGGGCAAAUCACUCCAAACAUCUCGUACACGUCGACGAAAUGUUUGUAAAAGUCCUAAAAAGCCAUGUAAAAUACUUAAUGACAAGUAUUCAAAUCAUGAAAAUCUCAAGUAUAUACGACCAAAAUGAAUGAGUAAACACUCGAACAUCUGACAGAUCCGGUAAUCUGUCUGCGACUGAUAUCUUAGACAACUCCUGAAAUAAAACUGAUACGGAUUCUGACGACUGCUGUGGUAUGAAUAUUUCUUUUUUUUAUCAUGUAUUAGGAGAAAGGCUAUAUAAAAAAGGCCUAAUCGGGUUAAUCCCUCGAGGUCAACGAGCGUUUUUUCCUCAUUUCUACGCAUAAGCAGUAUAUAUUAAGCUUACGUUUCAUCAGGAGUCAUUUAGUUCUACACCUUGUGAAAGUGAAAAAAGUGGGAAAAUUCAAUAGAGACUCUCAUGUGCAACCAUCAAUAUUUCGCAGACGCAACUUAAUUCUCGCAACAAAUUUCGCCGCAGAGCUUUGUCAGAAUAUUGAAAACGCGUUAGGACUUUAGCAGUGGAGUGACCCUCGACGUGCGGCAUGGGCAGACAACACACUACAAAACAUUUGACUCAAAAACUUUGGUAAAAUAAUGCAUGCAGUGACACAACAUUGUGAGUAAAAUUACAGUCAAAUGACAAAUGUAAUUAUGCAUUUAUGAGCUAAUUCACUUAUUUUUUGAGUAAAGUAAAUCUUUUAAUCCAGUUAAAGUAAACCUUGAUUCAAAAAAUUGAGUAAAUUCGAAACUUACUGAAAAAAUUGAGUACAUUCGCUCAUAAAUUUGAGUUAUUUUACUCAAAAUUCUGUGGUUGCAUUAGUUAAUUUACUCAAGUUUUUGAGUCAAAUACUUGGGGAUUUUUUGCAGUGCAAGAGUACGAUGCAUGCUAACUAUAGACAUAGUGUACGACAUUAGUCCUUAGACUAGGGAAGGAUUAUAAUAUUAUUCUCAUCAAGGGUUACUCCGGCAAGACUCAAGAAAUCAGUUUUAAAAAAUCAGAGAUUUUAUUACGCCUGAUACUUAGUAUUUGUAAUGUACGAGUCAAAUCCAACCGCGAUCAGCCCCCCGGGCAACCCCAGGUCAUUUGACUUAACAUUACCCCCGUAUAGGCGGGAACUUGACAGCCCGGCAUUUGAUCACUUGACAACAACUUGCUCAGCAGUCUUCCCUAAAAAUAUGUGUACAUUCUAGCGCUUUACGAGUUUUCUAUUUUGCGUCUUUUCGAUAGUUUGAAAAUUGCUUCUGAAUCACAAACAUCAAUCAUAGAUAUUUGAUACAAUAUGCUCAGUUGAACAAAAAGAAGAACUGUCUGGCCUAUUUUUCGUUCUUUUUAAUCUUGAAAUACUUGUUCAAUUUAAUUUUAGUCAAAAUUCCAGAAACAGGACUACCCCUAUAGCAGGGCAUUUGACUGUGGUUUCUGCCUGUUCGGGCGGGCAUUUGACCAAUUAUUUUUUCAAAAGUCAAAUUCCCCGGUGGUUGCCCGGGGGGGCCUGAUCGCGGUUGGAUUUGACUCGUACAUAAUAAUACACUAAUUAGCCACAGUUAGUCUCACUUUGUCUUUGUCCACACCACAAUAAUAUUAUUCGUACAAACAGUUUCGUUAUGUUUUUUUUUACAACAUUGGAAUACAAAGUUAGCGAAGCGUGCAAUUGCUGUUAUUCAGUUAUAUGGAUAACCACGGAACUGACGCAAGUAACAAAAUGUAACCAACACUGUCGUGUAAAAUCAAUUACAGUUUUUACAGUGAAGCCCAUCGGCAAGACAAGACAAGAAGUUUGAACGCAUUUAUAUAUCCUAUGCCAUGGUAAUUGCUGUUAGUAACACUUAUAACUUACUGUUUUUAUUUUUCCCAAGGUUCGUUGUUUCUGCCGUUUUCCAAGAAUUGUUAACAAGAUGUUUUUGUCAUGGCUAAAGGUUAUCGUUCUUCUAACCACAACACAUGAAAUAAAUGGACAAGGCAGGUUACUUUCUUUAAACAUCAUGCAUGGGCAGGGGCGUAGGAAGCAUCGAAAGAUUGGGGGGGCACCGACUUCUAGGGGCACUUUAGGGUAUUGAAAAGGGCACCUAAAUUUUUCCCGGAAAUGUUGGCGACGGGGGGGGGGAAGAAGAAAAAUUUUCUCGUCGUACCAUACCGAAAUUUCACGCUUUUGACCAAAUUUUUUUUAAAAACUUGGAAAGUUCCAAACAAAAUUGGCACUUUUGAUGUUAAUUUAGUGUUUACAGUGACAUUAGCUUGCACAAAAAGGGCACUUUUCAUCACAAAAAAGAGCACUUUUAGUCCUUUGAAAAAAUUGGGGGGGCACCCCGUUCCUACGCCCCUAUGCAUGGGGAUUUUAAGAUUUGCCUUUUAAGCGCAGUUAUAUACUGAUACCUGCUCGUCUUAAGGGUGGAACGCAUGAACUUUACGUGAGUGGAACAUUUUCCGCAGAAAGAAAAUUUUGUAAAAUGUGAUUGGCCGACACAAAUUUUCCGUUGGAAAAAAAUUUUCUGGUUGAAAAUUUUCAACCUUUAACAAUGACAUUUUCGGAAAAUUUUCUGUCCGUGGAAAUUUUUCUUGAGUGGAAAUAGGCCUUUAGGGGCGGGAAAAUUCCCGUUCUCCCACUUUAAUUUUCCCGCCCACAAGUCCUUUCCCAAAAAAUUGGCUGCUACACAGGAUAAUUGCCGGGAAUAUUUGGUUAUUUGGUCCGUCUCUAACAAUAACUCACGGUGGCAUGUCGGUACUUUCAUCCCAGCAAUCUAGCCAGGAGUGAGUCUAGUUUGUAGUUAAACAUAGUUAACUCUAACUGUAUACAACAUUAUGAUUAACGUCUUAAUGGGAUAUUUUAUUGUUUUUUUCAACAGUUUUAGGCAAGGGUUUAAAGGUUCUUCCCGAAGGUGGUUAUUUUCAAGAGAACGAGAAAGUUACUUUGUCUUGCGUCUCAUCCACUAGCCUGCAAUCUUGGCCUACGGCAGUAUCUUGGUACAAGAAUAACAUGAUUAUUCUUUCGGAUAAUAAUGAUGUGUUCAUAGAUAAUGAUGGAUCAUUGACUAUCACGAGGUUUCAGUCACAUGAUGAGGGUUAUUAUGAAUGCGAGACGAAUAGAGGAGAAUACAGGCAAA
This 5427-nucleotide long non-coding RNA is filed under the name Paramuricea clavata. Lineage: Eukaryota; Metazoa; Cnidaria; Anthozoa; Malacalcyonacea; Plexauridae. The record is from RNAcentral.